RNAcentral lists this unclassified non-coding RNA (345 nucleotides) under soil metagenome. RNAcentral describes it as "partial contains 5.8S ribosomal RNA, internal transcribed spacer 2, and large subunit ribosomal RNA". The stretch from base 1 to 120 matches the Rfam family "5.8S ribosomal RNA", at positions 35 to 154 of the family's 154-position model. The record is from RNAcentral.
GAUGAAGAACGCAGCGAAAUACGAUACGUAAUGUGAAUUGCAGAAUUCAGUGAAUCAUCGAGUCUUUGAACGCACAUUGCGCCCCCUGGUAUUCCGGGGGGCAUGCCUGUCCGAGCGUCAUUGCUGCCCUCAAGCACGGCUUGUGUGUUGGGCCUCCGUCCUCCUCCCGGGGGACGGGCCCGAAAGGCAGCGGCGGCACCGCGUCCGGUCCUCGAGCGUAUGGGGCUUCGUCACCCGCUCUUGUAGGCCCGGCCGGCGCUUGCCGACACAUCAAUCUUUUUUCCAGGUUGACCUCGGAUCAGGUAGGGAUACCCGCUGAACUUAAGCAUAUCAAUAAGCGGAGGA